RNAcentral lists this small RNA (421 nucleotides) under Arabidopsis thaliana (thale cress). RNAcentral's name for it is "putative long intergenic non-coding RNA". The record is from RNAcentral. Lineage: Eukaryota; Viridiplantae; Streptophyta; Magnoliopsida; Brassicales; Brassicaceae.
AUUGGCAUUAUUCAGUUAUCGUCUGAAUCUCGAUGCUUAUUCAGUUAUUUGGUUUGACAAAAUGUCACAACUGCCUGCUUGCAUCAGAUAUUGAAAUUGCGGAGAAGAUUUAGUUAUUGAAAAGGCCCGAGUAGAGGGAUAGUGGGAGAAGCACCAUGUUCUGAGGACGAUUGCUUGGGCUGCUUGAUGAAUCAUUUCGAGCAUGAUCUGCCGAUUGAAUUGGGCUACUUCCUUUUGGAAAAUGAUGCGAUCUCGGAUUGGGCUUUUAUUGGGUCUAGAAUUGAAUAAGAUGAUGAGAUUGAGAGUGGUGGGAUCUCAAGACUUGGAAUUACAUCAAUGCCCUUGUAUGCAAAGACCGAAUUUAUCAUUUAUAGUUGCAACUUCCAAAUUAGUAAAAUAUUGUUUAAAAACUUUAUUAUAG